GAUGAACGCUGGCGGCGUGCCUAAUACAUGCAAGUCGAGCGAACAGAUGAGGAGCUUGCUCCUCUGACGUUAGCGGCGGACGGGUGAGUAACACGUGGAUAACCUACCUAUAAGACUGGGAUAACUUCGGGAAACCGGAGCUAAUACCGGAUAAUAUAUUGAACCGCAGGGUUCAAUAGUGAAAGACGGUUUUGCUGUCACUUAUAGAUGGAUCCGCGCCGCAUUAGCUAGUUGGUAAGGUAACGGCUUACCAAGGCAACGAUGCGUAGCCGACCUGAGAGGGUGAUCGGCCACACUGGAACUGAGACACGGUCCAGACUCCUACGGGAGGCAGCAGUAGGGAAUCUUCCGCAAUGGGCGAAAGCCUGACGGAGCAACGCCGCGUGAGUGAUGAAGGUCUUCGGAUCGUAAAACUCUGUUAUUGGGGAAGAACAAAUGUGUAAGUAACUAUGCACGUCUUGACGGUACCUAAUCAGAAAGCCACGGCUAACUACGUG
This 497-nucleotide ribosomal RNA is filed under the name uncultured bacterium. RNAcentral describes it as "partial 16S ribosomal RNA". It matches the Rfam family "Bacterial small subunit ribosomal RNA", at positions 28 to 507 of the family's 1533-position model. The record is from RNAcentral.